Molecule: ribosomal RNA, 1045 nt
Filed under: Laburnicola muriformis
Lineage: Eukaryota; Fungi; Ascomycota; Dothideomycetes; Pleosporales; Didymosphaeriaceae
Description: SSU rRNA
Rfam family: Eukaryotic small subunit ribosomal RNA
Source: RNAcentral
UAGUAUAGCAAUUAUACCGUGAAACUGCGAAUGGCUCAUUAAAUCAGUUAUCGUUUAUUUGAUAGUACCUUACUACUUGGACAACCGUGGUAAUUCUAGAGCUAAUACAUGCUGAAAACCCCGACUUCGGGAGGGGUGUAUUUAUUAGAUAAAAAACCAAUGCCCUUCGGGGCUCCUUGGUGAUUCAUGAUAACUUCUCAGAUCGCAUUGGCCUUGCGCCGGCGACGGUUCAUUCAAAUUUCUGCCCUAUCAACUUUCGAUGGUAAGGUAUUGGCUUACCAUGGUUUCAACGGGUAACGGAGAAUUAGGGUUCGAUUCCGGAGAGGGAGCCUGAGAAACGGCUACCACAUCCAAGGAAGGCAGCAGGCGCGCAAAUUACCCAAUUCCGAUACGGAGAGGUAGUGACAAUAAAUACUGAUACAGGGCUCUUUUGGGUCUUGUAAUUGGAAUGAGUACAAUUUAAACCUCUUAACGAGGAACAAUUGGAGGGCAAGUCUGGUGCCAGCAGCCGCGGUAAUUCCAGCUCCAAUAGCGUAUAUUAAAGUUGUUGCAGUUAAAAAGCUCGUAGUUGAACCUUUGGCCUGGCUGGCAGGUCCGCCUCACCGCGUGCACUUGACCGGCCGGGCCUUUUCUUCUGGAGAACCGCAUGCCCUUCACUGGGUGUGUUGGGGACCAGGACUUUUACUUUGAAAAAAUUAGAGUGUUCAAAGCAGGCCUUUGCUCGAAUACGUUAGCAUGGAAUAAUAGAAUAGGACGUGCGGUCCUAUUUUGUUGGUUUCUAGGACCGCCGUAAUGAUUAAUAGGGACAGUCGGGGGCAUCAGUAUUCAAUUGUCAGAGGUGAAAUUCUUGGAUUUAUUGAAGACUAACUACUGCGAAAGCAUUUGCCAAGGAUGUUUUCAUUAAUCAGUGAACGAAAGUUAGGGGAUCGAAGACGAUCAGAUACCGUCGUAGUCUUAACCAUAAACUAUGCCGACUAGGGAUCGGGCGGUGUUUCUAUUGUGACCCGCUCGGCACCUUACGAGAAAUCAAAGUGUUUGGGUCUGG